AUUGAACGCUGGCGGCAGGCCUAACACAUGCAAGUCGAGCGGUAGAGAGGAGCUUGCUUCUCUUGAGAGCGGCGGACGGGUGAGUAAUGCCUAGGAAUCUGCCUAGUGGUGGGGGAUAACGUUCGGAAACGGACGCUAAUACCGCAUACGAUCUACGGAUGAAAGCGGGGGACUCGCAAGAGCCUCGCGCGAUUGGAGCGGCCGAUAUCAGAUUAGGUAGUUGGUAGGGUAAAGGCCUACCAAGCCAACGAUCUGUAGCUGGUCUGAGAGGACGACCAGCCACACUGGAACUGAGACACGGUCCAGACUCCUACGGGAGGCAGCAGUGGGGAAUUUUUGGACAAUGGGCGCAAGCCUGAUCCAGCAAUGCCGCGUGCAGGAAGAAAGGGCCCUUCGGGUUGUAAACUGCUUUUGUACGGAACGAAAAGGUUUACGUAUUAAUACUAGAGCUCAUGACGGUACCGUAAGAAUAAGCACCGGCUAACUACGUAGCCAGC
This 497-nucleotide ribosomal RNA is filed under the name uncultured bacterium. RNAcentral describes it as "bacterial SSU rRNA". It matches the Rfam family "Bacterial small subunit ribosomal RNA", at positions 30 to 512 of the family's 1533-position model. The record is from RNAcentral.